UGAUUGAGACGAGUCCAUAUC
RNAcentral lists this microRNA (21 nucleotides) under Pinus taeda (loblolly pine). Lineage: Eukaryota; Viridiplantae; Streptophyta; Pinopsida; Pinales; Pinaceae. The record is from RNAcentral.